ACCGCGGUCAGGUUCCCGUGCCGCAAAGAAUCGCGCUCCUCUCCCACGUGAAGGGGAUCUGGACUUACAGAUCACCCCCACGCACCCCAGUUCCCCAACAAGCUGCAUGUACAAGAAAUGUAAGAAGUGCCAUGGCACUGGGAGGUUAGGUAUUUUCACGCCCACUUGGGUGCCUUCUACAGUGAAGCGUGGGGAAGAGGAAAUGGUGGAGUGGCAGCGCCGGGAGCCUUCCCCGCUGCUGGAGCCCACAGGGGCGGGGGCCCAGCCAGGGCACCCAGCUCAGCCCUAGUUUCCCCUCAGGGAGGCACCAGCUCUGCUGCUCCUCAGCUCCAGACACAGAGGGAGCCCAUCACACCCGCCAGCACGCCGGGAAAGACCGCUGCACUAGAACCCACUUGAUGCAACCCUUCAGCAUCUGGGGAUAUCAGCAGGGGGAUCCUUAAGCAAUAAUCUAUACACAAGACCAUCAGUCAGGAGGAGUGAUGGCUGGGGGACUUUCCUGGCACCUGGACAAUUAACCCAGAAGCCAGAGGACAGAGAAGGCACCAGGCCCAUCACCUCUGGGUGGCACAGACCAGCCUCAGAUGCUGACACCAUGGUAUGCCUUGGGUGCCCUCUGCUGGCACAUCACCACACCUGACUUCAAGACUGGAUUUACUCCAUUGAGUCACCCUGUCACCUUCUCUCACACAGAGCUCCCUAAGACUUAGGGGCCACAGCUGAUGCUUCCACCAUCUUUAGCCAUCUUGCAACACUCAGUCAAAGAUGACAUCAACAGAGGAUGACUUCACAGACUCCCAACAGCUGGGUCUCCUAUGAUCCAAAGGUGGCCUGUACAUUUUAUAUCCCCUUUCAAGUUUAUGGUUAGAAAAUGCUGGUGCCCAGGCCGCACCACAAACAGAUCAGAACCCUGUGGGCGAAGCCUCUCCACCACUGUACUGAACAGUCCCCAAGGGAUUCUUAUGUUCAUCCCGAGCUGAGACCCACAGGGAGACAAGCCCAAGUUCUGAUACAGCAGACCUGGAGGGUUCCAAGGAUGAUCCUGAGUCACCAACCCAGAUCCACUACCGGAUUAGAACUUGCAAUGAACUUUAGAGAAGGAAACAGAAAGUCCAGCUAGAACCUUGAAGGGCAGAGAAAGGUCUUCCUCCCCAACACUCUCAAAACAUCCUGCCUGGCUGUACUUGCCCUCCUCGUGAUGAUGUGACAUGACACGAUGCCUAUGUGAGGAGAUGAAGUGAGGGGAAUGACACAGGCAUUGGGACACAUCAUCAGGCUUCUACUGCUCUUCUGAGCGCAAGGCAGGAGAGUCACCUGCCUCCCGACUGGGCUGACACUAUGGAAAGUGAAGCUGUGUAGGUAAGAAGGCACUGGCGUAUCCCCAGAACCAAAUACGAACCAGCCUUUUAGAAAGGCAAUCAGAGAGCUCUCUACAUGUAUUGGCAAGGAAAAAUUUGCAAGAUACAGUAAGGAAAAAUAGAUAAAUACAAAAGAGUGUGCUCGCUGUGCUGCUUUUAGUAUAAAGUAAGUUUAUCCAGACACAUACAUGUAUCUGGAAGAAAAGAUAAAAAAGUGUCUAGCCACGAGACAUGGGCGGCUGGGGUCAGAGGCGAGAGGGAGAGCCCCUCCUCCCCUGCGCACCCAGCUUGGCACUGUCCAUUCAAAUGCCUCUGAGCAGCCUGCACAAGGAAAUGGGGAAAACCCAAGCAAAUGCACGGUGACCUCAUCAAGUGUUCAGAAAUCUAGUUCCCCUGAUUUCCAACUCAACAACUGGACAUUUUCCCAAUCCGUAAGGAUAC
Mustela erminea (ermine) is the source of this 1799-nucleotide long non-coding RNA. RefSeq lists it as uncharacterized. The transcript is spliced from 4 exons. Lineage: Eukaryota; Metazoa; Chordata; Mammalia; Carnivora; Mustelidae. The record is from RefSeq and is a predicted model, not a curated record.